This 254-nucleotide ribosomal RNA is filed under the name uncultured bacterium. RNAcentral describes it as "partial 16S ribosomal RNA". It matches the Rfam family "Bacterial small subunit ribosomal RNA", at positions 524 to 775 of the family's 1533-position model. The record is from RNAcentral.
UACGUAGGGUGCGAGCGUUGUCCGGAAUUAUUGGGCGUAAAGAGCUUUGUAGGCGGUUUGUCGCGUCUGCCGUGAAAAUUCGAGGCUCAACCUCGAACUUGCGGUGGGUACGGGCAGACUAGAGUGUGGUAGGGGAGACUGGAAUUCCUGGUGUAGAGGUGAAAUUCGUAGAUAUUCGGAAGAACACCAGUGGCGAAGGCGACUUACUGGACACAUAUUGACGCUGAGGUGGCGAAAGCGUGGGGAGCAACAGG